RNAcentral lists this ribosomal RNA (103 nucleotides) under uncultured bacterium. RNAcentral's name for it is "partial 16S ribosomal RNA". It matches the Rfam family "Bacterial small subunit ribosomal RNA", at positions 1381 to 1482 of the family's 1533-position model. The record is from RNAcentral.
CGUUACACACCGCCCGUCACACCACGAAAGCCUGUUGUACCUGAAGUCGCCCAAGCCAACCGCAAGGAGGCAGGCGCCCACGGUAUGGCCGGUGAUUGGGGUG